RNAcentral lists this ribosomal RNA (496 nucleotides) under uncultured bacterium. RNAcentral's name for it is "partial 16S ribosomal RNA". It matches the Rfam family "Bacterial small subunit ribosomal RNA", at positions 29 to 507 of the family's 1533-position model. The record is from RNAcentral.
AUGCACGCUGGCGGCGUGCCUAAUACAUGCAAGUCGAGCGGACGGACGAGAAGCUUGCUUCUCUGAUGUUAGCGGCGGACGGGUGAGUAACACGUGGAUAACCUACCUAUAAGACUGGGAUAACUUCGGGAAACCGGAGCUAAUACCGGAUAAUAUUUUGCACCGCAUGGUUCAAAAGUGAAAGACGGUCUUGCUGUCACUUAUAGAUGGAUCCGCGCUGCAUUAGCUAGUUGGUAAGGUAACGGCUUACCAAGGCAACGAUGCAUAGCCGACCUGAGAGGGUGAUCGGCCACACUGGAACUGAGACACGGUCCAGACUCCUACGGGAGGCAGCAGUGGGGAAUCUUCCGCAAUGGGCGAAAGCCUGACGGAGCAACGCCGCGUGAGUGAUGAAGGUCUUCGGAUCGUAAAACUCUGUUAUUAGGGAAGAACAUAUGUGUAAGUAACUGUGCACAUCUUGACGGUACCUAAUCAGAAAGCCACGGCUAACUACGUG